RNAcentral lists this ribosomal RNA (501 nucleotides) under uncultured bacterium. Its description in RNAcentral is "partial 16S ribosomal RNA". It matches the Rfam family "Bacterial small subunit ribosomal RNA", at positions 28 to 523 of the family's 1533-position model. The record is from RNAcentral.
GACGAACGCUGGCGGCGUGCUUAACACAUGCAAGUCGAACGCUGAAGCCUGCUUUCGGGUGGGUGGAUGAGUGGCGUACGGGUGAGUAACACGCGGGUAAUCUGUCCUGCACUCGGGGAUAACCUUGGGAAACUGGGGCUAAUACCGUAUGGUCACACGGAUCUCGCAUGGGGGUGUGUGGAAAGCGUUUACGGUGGUGCAGGGUGUGCCCGCGGCCUAUCAGCUGGUUGGUGGGGUAAGGGCCUUCCAAGGCGACGACGGGUAGCCGGCCUGAGACGGUGAUCGGCCACACUGGGACUGAGACACGGCCCAGACGCCUACGGGAGGCAGCAGUGGGGAAUUUUGCGCGAUGGGGGGGAGCCUGACGCCGCAACGCCGUGUGGGGGAGGACGGCCUUCGGGUUGUAAACCUCUUUCGGUUCUGACGAAGCUCUGCGUGUUCGUGGGGUGACGGUAGGGGCAGAAGAAGCACCGGCUAACUACGUGCCAGCCGCCGCAGUAA